CAGUCGCCGCGGUAAUACGUAGGGUGCGAGCGUUAAUCGGAAUUACUGGGCGUAAAGCGUGCGCAGGCGGUUAUAUAAGACAGAUGUGAAAUCCCCGGGCUCAACCUGGGACCUGCAUUUGUGACUGUAUAGCUAGAGUACGGUAGAGGGGGAUGGAAUUCCGCGUGUAGCAGUGAAGUGCGUAGAUAUGCGGAGGAAUACCGAUGGCGAAGGCAGCCCCCUGGGCCAAUACUGACGCUCGUGCACGAAAGCGUGGGGAGCAAACAGGAUUAGAUACCCCUGUAGUCCCUGUCUCUUAUAC
This 301-nucleotide ribosomal RNA is filed under the name uncultured bacterium. RNAcentral describes it as "partial 16S ribosomal RNA". It matches the Rfam family "Bacterial small subunit ribosomal RNA", at positions 509 to 807 of the family's 1533-position model. The record is from RNAcentral.